CCUACGGGAGGCAGCAGUGGGGAAUAUUGGGCAAUGGAGGCAACUCUGACCCAGCAAUGCCGCGUGAGUGAUGAAGGUAAUUUUAUUGUAAAGCUCUUUUCUUUGGAACGAAUAAAUGACGGUACCAAAGGAAUAAGCCCCGGCUAACUACGUGCCAGCAGCCGUGGUAAUACGUAGGGGGUAAGCGUUGCUCGGAAUGACUGGGCGUAAAGGGGGUGUAGGGGGUUUGAUAAGUUAGAUGUGUAAUACCCAGGGCUUAAAUCGGGUGCUGUCUCUAAUACUGUUAGACUUGAGUACUGGAGAGGAUAGUGGAAAUCCUAGUGUAGCGGUGGAAUGCGGAGAUAUUAGGAGGAACACCGGUGGCGAAGGCGGCCUGCUGGACUGCAACUGACGUUGAGGCCCGAAAGCGUGGGGAGCAAACCGGAUUAGAUACCCCUGUAGUC
Molecule: ribosomal RNA, 443 nt
Filed under: uncultured bacterium
Lineage: Bacteria
Description: partial 16S ribosomal RNA
Rfam family: Bacterial small subunit ribosomal RNA
Source: RNAcentral